GCGAACGGGUGAGUAAAAAUAGGGUGAGCUGCCCUGACUUAUAGAUAAGCCUGGGAAACUGGGUCUAAUACCGGAUAUGACCAACUGUCGCAUGGUGGUUGGUGGAAAGCUUUUGCGGUGUGGGAUGGGCCCGCGGCCUAUCAGCUUGUUGGUGGGGUAGUGGCCUACCAAGGCGACGACGGGUAGCCGACCUGAGAGGGUGAUCGGCCACACUGGGACUGAGACACGGCCCAGACUCCUACGGGAGGCAGCGGUGGGGAAUAUUGCACAAUGGGCGCACGCCUGAUGCAGCGCCGCCGCGAGAGGAAUGACGGCCUUCGCGUUGUAAACCUCUUUCCCCAGGCACGAGGCGGGAGUGACGGUCCGUGGUGAAGAAGCACCGCCCAACUACGUGCGAGCCGCCGCGGUAUUGCGUAGGGUGCGAGCUUUGUCCGGAAUUACUGGGUGUAAGGGGUGCGUAGGCGGUUUGUCGCGGCGCCUGUGAAAUUCUGCAACUCAAUUGCGGCCGUGCAGGCUAUGCGGGCCGACUUGAGUCCUACGGGGGAGACUGUAAUUCGUGGUGUAGCGGUGAAAUGCGCAGAUAUGGGGAGGACAACCGGUGGCGAAAGCCGGCUCUCUGGACAGUAACUGACGCUGAGGCGGGAAGGCGGGGGUGGCAACCGGCAUUAGAUACCCUGGUAGCCCACGCGGCAGACGGGGGGUACUAGGUUUGGGUUCUUUUUUACGGGGUUCCGUGCCGGAGCUUGGGAAUCAAGUCCUCCCGCGUGGGGGGGCACGGCCGGCAGGAUUAACAUUCAAAGGUACUUGUGGGGGGCCCGGAACAUGCGGGGGGAGCGUUGUGGAUUAUUUCGGUUGCACCGGAAGGCACCUUUACUUGGGUUUAAGAAUACACCAAAAGCGGGUAAGGGAAGGUCCUUCCCCUUGGGGGUUGG
This 932-nucleotide ribosomal RNA is filed under the name Gordonia terrae. Its description in RNAcentral is "bacterial SSU rRNA". It matches the Rfam family "Bacterial small subunit ribosomal RNA", at positions 98 to 1030 of the family's 1533-position model. The record is from RNAcentral. Lineage: Bacteria; Bacillati; Actinomycetota; Actinomycetes; Mycobacteriales; Gordoniaceae.